RNAcentral lists this long non-coding RNA (383 nucleotides) under Heterocephalus glaber (naked mole-rat). Its description in RNAcentral is "lncRNA (ENSHGLG00100046004.1)". The record is from RNAcentral. Lineage: Eukaryota; Metazoa; Chordata; Mammalia; Rodentia; Bathyergidae.
AUUUAGAAUCACAGCACUUUCCAUAAUGUGAAAUAAAAAGAAGUGAAAUAGAAGUAGCUGGAUAGAAAAAGUGAAGUCAACAGAAGACCGCCUCAAGGAAAAGGAAGAGUCAUAACUGUGCACCAGGCGUACUGGCUAUGUGACCUCAAUCAUGGCUUUCCUCCUCUUAAUCUCAACUCCUCCAUUUGUAAAUUAAGAGGAAAGAAAUUUGAACAGGAAGACAGAUAGACACAAGCAGACCAUCAUGUAAAGAUAAAGAUAGGAAUCAAGAGUGAUGCAUUUGCAAACUAAGAACACGGAAGAAUCCCAGUAAAUCACCAGAAGUUAGGAAAAAGUCAUGGAAUAGAUUCUGCCUCAGAGCCUCCAGAGGAAUCCAACCCUGC